GACGAACGCUGGCGGCGUGCCUAAUACAUGCAAGUCGAGCGAGCGGAACUAACAGAUUUACUUCGGUAAUGACGUUAGGAAAGCGAGCGGCGGAUGGGUGAGUGACACGUGGGGAACCUGCCCCAUAGUCUGGGAUACCACUUGGAAACAGGUGCUAAUACCGGAUAAGAAAGCAGAUCGCAUGAUCAGCUUUUAAAAGGCGGCGUAAGCUGUCGCUAUGGGAUGGCCCCGCGGUGCAUUAGCUAGUUGGUAAGGUAAAGGCUUACCAAGGCGAUGAUGCAUAGCCGAGUUGAGAGACUGAUCGGCCACAUUGGGACUGAGACACGGCCCAAACUCCUACGGGAGGCAGCAGUAGGGAAUCUUCCACAAUGGACGCAAGUCUGAUGGAGCAACGCCGCGUGAGUGAAGAAGGUUUUCGGAUCGUAAAGCUCUGUUGUUGGUGAAGAAGGAUAGAGGUAGUAACUGGCCUUUAUUUGACGGUAAUCAACCAGAAAGUCACGGCUAACUACGUG
RNAcentral lists this ribosomal RNA (512 nucleotides) under uncultured bacterium. Its description in RNAcentral is "partial 16S ribosomal RNA". It matches the Rfam family "Bacterial small subunit ribosomal RNA", at positions 28 to 507 of the family's 1533-position model. The record is from RNAcentral.